Molecule: ribosomal RNA, 500 nt
Filed under: uncultured Myrionecta
Lineage: Eukaryota; Ciliophora; Litostomatea; Cyclotrichida; Mesodiniidae
Description: bacterial SSU rRNA
Rfam family: Eukaryotic small subunit ribosomal RNA
Source: RNAcentral
AAAACUUACCAGGUCAAGACAUGGGCGUGAUUGACAGGCUAAUGACUUUUCUCGAUUCCAUGGAUGGUGGUGCAUGGUCGCACUUAGUUGGUGCAGUGAUUUGUCAGGUUUAUUCCGGUAACGAACGAGACCUCGGCCUUGUAAAUAGCUAUACUGCUUACAGGGACAUUGGCGGCUACGCCAAGGAAGCUCGAGGCAAUUGCAGAUCUGGAAUGCCCUUAGAUGUCCUGGGUCGCACGCGUGCUACAAUGACGCCACGAACGAGCUUGCGUGAUGAAAGUUACGCAUAAUCAGCAGUCGGCGUCUUAAGGGAUAGUCUCUUGUAACUGUGGGACUCCAACUAGGAAUGUCUCGUAAGCACAAGUCAACAUCUUGUGUUGAUUACGUCCCUGCUCUUUGUACACACCGCCCGUCGCUCCUACCGAUCGAGUGUUUAGGUGAAUUUGAUGGACGUAAGGAAGUCAAAUAAACCUGAGCACUAGAGAAGAGAAGUCUACAUC